ACGUGGGUGAUCUGCCCUGCACUUCGGGAUAAGCUUGGGAAACUGGGUCUAAUACCGGAUAGGAGCCAUCUUUAGUGUGGUGGUUGGAAAGUUUUUCGGUGUAGGAUGAGCUCGCGGCCUAUCAGCUUGUUGGUGGGGUAAUGGCCUACCAAGGCGGCGACGGGUAGCCGGCCUGAGAGGGUGUACGGCCACACUGGAACUGAGACACGGUCCAG
RNAcentral lists this ribosomal RNA (215 nucleotides) under uncultured Actinomycetales bacterium. RNAcentral's name for it is "partial 16S ribosomal RNA". It matches the Rfam family "Bacterial small subunit ribosomal RNA", at positions 115 to 334 of the family's 1533-position model. The record is from RNAcentral. Lineage: Bacteria; Bacillati; Actinomycetota; Actinomycetes; Actinomycetales.